GGCCCUUGGCGCCGUAGCAGCACAUCAUGGAUUGCGGGUGUUGUAGAUGCAAGCCAUGCUGUGCGGCCUUGGUGCCAGGGAGCG
Molecule: microRNA precursor, 84 nt
Organism: Petromyzon marinus (sea lamprey)
Lineage: Eukaryota; Metazoa; Chordata; Hyperoartia; Petromyzontiformes; Petromyzontidae
Source: Ensembl